Molecule: ribosomal RNA, 257 nt
Filed under: uncultured bacterium
Lineage: Bacteria
Description: partial 16S ribosomal RNA
Rfam family: Bacterial small subunit ribosomal RNA
Source: RNAcentral
GACGUAGGGCGCGAGCGUUUGUCCGGAAUUAUUGGGCGUAAAGAGCUCGUAGGCGGUUUGUCGCGUCUGCUGUGAAAACUCGGGGCUUAACCCCGGGCCUGCAGUGGGUACGGGCAGACUAGAGUGCGGUAGGGGGAGACUGGAAUUCCUGGUGUAGCGGUGGAAUGCGCAGAGUAUCAGGAGGAACACCGGUGGCGAAGGCGGGUCUCUGGGCAGUAACUGACGCUGGAGGAGCGAAAGCAUGGGGAGCGAACAGG